This 2474-nucleotide long non-coding RNA is filed under the name Lathyrus oleraceus (garden pea). RNAcentral's name for it is "Pisum sativum (pea) long non-coding RNA (PSAT_LNC011289)". The record is from RNAcentral. Lineage: Eukaryota; Viridiplantae; Streptophyta; Magnoliopsida; Fabales; Fabaceae.
CCAGGUCCACGCAUCUACACAAAAAUCCAGAUCAAAUUUCUCAAUCCAAACGUGAGGCAUUCACAAAAUGCUUUAGCCUGAACCAAUUUCUUCGCCGCUUCCUCCGUAAUUUCAUCCUCUCACAUCGAUUCCACGCUUCCGUUUUCAACCGAAGCUAUGAAUAACAUUGAACCUGGAGCCAACAUCAUUUGAAUUCUAAAUCAAAAUCCACCUUGACACAGCCAAGACUUCAAUCACGUUAAGCUCCGAGAUCCAAAUCAACAUCUAAUUCGCUUCAUUAUUGCGCACCAGAAUCGAAAGAAAUUGAAUUGAAGCGAACACCACAGCGAGUCAUGGAUCGCAAUGAGAAGGUAGAAGAAAAUUUACCGGAAUUUGAGCUCAAGCUUUGUGGCACGAAUAGGUACCGAUUCUCUCUGCCUUGCUAUGCAUACACCUCUUCUUCUCCUCGCUUCUGUUUUUUAUCCCUCCGUUUUCUGUAUUGAGUGUGUUGUUAUGUAAUUGAGAUGAGAUGAGAGAGUAACGAGUCUGAGAGUGAAAAAUGGUGGAGGUCUAAGCUCUACCAAUUGAAGCUUCAUUAUGAAGCUUCAAUGGCGUGUUCUGAGGAAGAGCUUUGGUGAGGGUUGAUUCCAAGGGAGAGAGAGGAUCUGAAAUCGAUCUUUGUGAGAUUUCUGAGAGUGAAAUGUUCAGAGCUACAGCUGAACUGCGAUGAGAGCUCUUAUAGAGUCCAAUUCUGUUACAAAUUCACCUGAAAUUUAGGUUAAAUGUAUAUUGAAAUUAAGAAGUUAGUUAUGAAAUGCACUAGUUAGUUGGUUGGUUGAUCGUAAUGAUUCUGUUAAUGGAAUUGAAAUUAAUUUGAAAAUGAAUUUGAGGUUAAUUUGUUUGGAUUUAUUGUACUGUAAUUCAAUUUUCCUUGAACUUGAUCAUUCUGCCGAAAUGUACUUCAAAGUGUUACUGUUGAACGAAAAUAAGUUAUUAAGUUGUUAAUGCCACUGCAAUGUAAACUAGGUUCUGUUAGGAAAGUCAGUUUGGGUCCAAUUUUAUUACUAACAUGUUUUGCUUUGUAAAGCUGUUAAAUCCUAUUGAUACUCAAACAUUGAAAUUGAUGGCUACCGCCAUUCCUGUGAUUGGUGAGUUAUCAUGAUGCCUUUUGUUGAUGUGAAGAUAUAUUGUUGACUGAACUGCAAACUUGUUGCAGGCAUUUGGACUGAGGUGCCUUGAUUUGUUGUUGAAGGCAUUAUUAAUCAAUGAGGCUUGCUAAAUUAUGCUGAAAUCCAUGGUGUUCAUGUUCCUGCUCGUGGCUUUGAUGGACUCCAAUGCUUGGUAUGUUGUUAUGGCAAUUGAAUAACAUGCUUGGAUGUUACCACGUGAUUAAUAUUUGCUUAAUUUGCUGCAAAUUAUUACUGAUGAUGACCAUCUGACAUUGCAGGAUCCAGGAUUGAGAGGCAAAGUUUUUUCAUGAAGCAAUUGGUUUAUGAUGCAUAGGUACGGGUACGGUACCCGGUGCGGGUACCGGUAAUGGUACGGGAUACGCCAUUUUAAAAAAAAUUAAGGUACGGGUACGUUAAUAAAAAAUAAGAGUUUUCUAUAAAAUGUAUGGGGAGAAAACUAAAUUGUUAGGUUCACAAUAAUACAUCACUAUAAAAGUUUAAAAAAUAAAAAAUAAUAUUAAGAUAUAGUAACGAAGAAAUGAAAAUACAUAAAUAUACUACAUUGAUAUUUGAAAAAACAAAAAAUUUCACUUGAAAUCGAAUAAUCAGAAAAGAUGAAGUACCACGAGUACGGUACGUGUACCUGGUACGGAUGCGCACCCGAUACCAGUACUUCACCAUUUUAGAAGUACCCAUGCUUCAGAGCAAUUGGUGUUAACUGAUGUACAAUGUGUAUGCUCAUAUGUUAUUGCCAUGAAUUUGAUGUGCUUGUCAUGGAUGUAUUGCUGGUUUGUGUGCUACAUGAUGCAAGGCUGCAAUUGUCAUGCUUGGAUGAACACUUUGGUCAUGGUUUGCAUAGACUCAUGGGGUGUUCUGACUUGUUCUUGGUUUUGUAGGUAUAACUUAUGAACAUUGCCUUAAUUCUGACCUUGGUAUAACCUCAUGUGACAAGGUUUAACAUGUCGCACCAUGGCUUUGUUUUGCUAGGUUUACUUGCACAAGCUAAGUUCAUGACAUGGCAUUGAAUAUCAUGUGCAAAUGGCCAAAUCAAAAUCAAGAUGGAACUGGAAAAUGGGAUUAGGAUUAGCAUUGGCAUUUAGUGGUUUAGGAUGGAAAAUCACUUUGAGUUGACUUUGGUCAAAGUUGAACAAAAAGUCAACUGUUGACCAAAGUUAAUAUUUGUUAAACAUGUAUUUUUUUUGGUAUUUUUUGUAUGUAAAGAACAAUUUAUGGUCAUGUAAUGAAUGGGAUUGAUGCAUUUAAAUGAAAAUGAAUGGAUUUGGUACAUGAAUAUGUUAUUUAAAAUGGUUUGAAUUUAGACUUAAA